This 3161-nucleotide ribosomal RNA is filed under the name Actinomyces sp. HMSC062G12. RNAcentral describes it as "bacterial LSU rRNA". It matches the Rfam family "Bacterial large subunit ribosomal RNA". The record is from RNAcentral. Lineage: Bacteria; Bacillati; Actinomycetota; Actinomycetes; Actinomycetales; Actinomycetaceae.
UUGUUUAGUUUUGUUGGGCAUUCGGUGGAUGCCUUGGUAUCAAGAGCUGAUGAAGGACGUUGCGGCCUGCGAUAUGCCUCGGGGAGUUGGCGAGCGAGCGUUAUUAUCCGAGGGUGUCCGAAUGGGGGAACCUAACCUGGGUUGUGCUGGGUUACCAUCAUCUGAACGUGUAUAGGGUGGUGGGGGGAACGCGGGGAAGUGAAACAUCUUAGUACCCGUAGGAGAAGAUAUUCCGUGAGUAGUGGCGAGCGAAAGCGGAGGAGGCUAAACCAGAUGCGUGUGAUAGGCGGCGGCUGUUGCGUGUUUGGUGUUGUGGGGCCAUGUUGGAUCCUUCUGCCGGGGGGUCGCGUUGCAUUGUGUUGGGAGUUGAACAGUCUGGGAUGGCUGACCGUAGAGCGUGAUAGUCGUGUAGAUGGACUGGUGUGGUGUGGCGUGGAUGUGGUGCCCGAGUAGUGCGGGACUCGUGGAAUCUCGUGUGAAUCUGCCAAGACCACUUGGUAAGCCUAAAUACUACUUGAUGACCGAUAGUGCAUAGUACCGUGAGGGAAUGGUGAAAAGUACCCCGGGAGGGGAGUGAAAUAGUACCUGAAACCGUGUGCCUGUAAGCCGUCAGAGCCUUGUGGGGUGAUGGCGUGCCUUUUGAAGAAUGAGCCUGCGAGUUAGUGAUGCGUGGCGUGCUUAACCCGUGUGGGGUAUGCGUAGCGAAAGCGAGUCUGAAAUAUUGGCGUUUGUCGCGUGUUCUAGACCCGAAGCGGGGUGAUCUACCCAUGGUCAGGUUGAAGCAGAGGUAAGACUGUGUGGAGGACCGAACCCACCAGGGUUGAAAACCUGGGGGAUGAACUGUGGGUAGGGGUGAAAGGCCAAUCAAACUCCGUGAUAGCUGGUUCUCCCCGAAAUGCAUUUAGGUGCAGCGUCGUGUGGUUCCUGGUGGAGGUAGAGCUACUGGAUGGCUGAUGGGCCCUGUGGGUUACUGACGUCAGCUAAACUCCGAAUGCCAUUAGGUGUAGCGCGGCAGUGAGACUGCGGGGGAUAAGCUUCGUAGUCGAGAGGGAAACAGCCCAGAUCAUCAGCUAAGGCCCCUAAGUGUACGCUCAGUGGGAAAGGAUGUGGAGUCGCGGUGACAACCAGGAGGUUGGCUUAGAAGCAGCCAUCCUUGAAAGAGUGCGUAAUAGCUCACUGGUCAAGUGGUUUCGCGCCGACAAUGUAGCGGGGCUUAAGCGUAUCGCCGAAGCUGUGGCAGCAACACGUGAUGCUGGCGCCGCCUUGGAUGUGGUGUUGGUGUGUUGUUGGGUAGGGGAGCGUCCUGCAUGAGGUGAAGCCUGGAGGUGACUUCUGGUGGAUUGUGUGGGAGUGAGAAUGCAGGCAUGAGUAACGAAUUCUGCGGUGGGAAUCCGCAGCGCCGAUUGACUAAGGGUUCCAGGGCUAGGUUUAUCCGCCCUGGGUUAGUCGGGUCCUAAGGCGAGGCCGACAGGCGUAGUCGAUGGAUAACCAGUUGAUAUUCUGGUACCGCGUUGUGACCGCCCGUGUUGAAGUCAUUGUGCUAACCGGUCCUGCUUCCUUGUGUGUUUGCUGCGCUUUUGUGGUGUGGUGAGCGCGCGGGUGUGGGUCGGGGUCCCGGUGAUGGUAGGCAAGCGUGUUAACAGGGGUGACGCAGGAAGGUAGCUGCAGUGCGCCGAUGGUUGUGCGUAUUUAAGGUUGUGGCCCGUUCUCUUAGGUAAAUCCGAGGGGGCUUGUGGGUGAGAACUGAUGAGGGACACACGCGUGUGUGGACUUGUGGUGAUCCUAUGCUGCCAAGAAAAGCCUCGACGUGAGGGCAUAACGCGCCCGUACCCGAAACCGACUCAGGUGGUCAGGUAGAGUAUACCGAGGCGUUCGAGUGAAUCAUGGUUAAGGAACUCGGCAAAAUUCCUCCGUAACUUCGGGAUAAGGAGGACCCCGUGGCUUCUCCCUGCCGUGCGUGGGGUGGGGGCUGUGGGGUCGCAGAGAAUAGGGAGAAGCGACUGUUUAUCAAAAACACAGGUGCGUGCGAAGCCGUAAGGCGAUGUAUACGCACUGACGCCUGCCCGGUGCUGGAAGGUUAAGAGGAACUGUUAACACCCCCCCCGGGGGGGUGUGAAGCGGUGAAUUUAAGCCCCAGUAAACGGCGGUGGUAACUAUAACCAUCCUAAGGUAGCGAAAUUCCUUGUCGGGUAAGUUCCGACCUGCACGAAUGGCGUAACGACUUCUCCGCUGUCUCGACCGUGAACUCGGUGAAAUUGCAGUACGAGUAAAGAUGCUCGUUUCGCGCAGAAGGACGGAAAGACCCCGGGACCUUUACUAUAGCUUGGUAUUGGUGUUCGCUUGGGCUUGUGUAGGAUAGGUGGGAGACUGUGAAACCAUGGCGCCAGCCGUGGUGGAGUCGUCGUUGAAAUACCAUUCUGGUUCAAGCGGUCACCUUAACCUUGGCCCGUGAUCCGGGUUGGGGACAGUGCCUGGUGGGUAGUUUAACUGGGGCGGUUGCCUCCUAAAAAGUAACGGAGGCGCUCAAAGGUUCCCUCAGCCUGGUUGGUCAUCAGGUGGCGAGUGCAAGUGUACAAGGGAGCUUGACUGUGAGACCGACGGGUCGAGCAGGUGCGAAAGCAGGAACUAGUGAUCCGGCCAUGGCACGUGGGUGCGUGGUCGCUCAACGGAUAAAAGGUACCCCGGGGAUAACAGGCUGAUCUUGCCCAAGAGUCCAUAUCGACGGCAUGGUUUGGCACCUCGAUGUCGGCUCGUCGCAUCCUGGGGCUGGAGUUGGUCCCAAGGGUUGGGCUGUUCGCCCAUUAAAGCGGUACGCGAGCUGGGUUCAGAACGUCGUGAGACAGUUCGGUCCCUAUCCUCUGCGCGCGCAGGAAACUUGAUGGAGGGCCGUCCCUAGUACGAGAGGACCGGGAUGGACGAACCUCUGGUGUGCCAGUUGUACCGCCAGGUGCAUGGCUGGUUAGCUACGUUCGGAAGGGAUAACCGCUGAAAGCAUCUAAGCGGGAAGCCUGCUCUAAGAUGAGGUUUCCACGCCCCCCCUGGGGGGUGAGAGGCCCCCGCCAGACUAGCGGGUUGAUAGGCCAGAGGUGGAAGCACCGCGAGGUGCUCGCGAGCCGACUGGUACUAAUUACGGCCGACACUAAACAAAACCCCACACACCC